UGAACGCUGGCGGCAUGCUUUACACAUGCAAGUCGGACGGCAGCACAGAGAAGCUUGCUUCUCGGGUGGCGAGUGGCGAACGGGUGAGUAACAUAUCGGAACGUACCGAGUAGUGGGGGAUAACUGAUCGAAAGAUCAGCUAAUACCGCAUACGUCUUGAGAGAGAAAGCAGGGGACCUUUGGGCCUUGCGCUAUUCGAGCGGCCGAUAUCUGAUUAGCUGGUUGGUGGGGUAAAGGCCUACCAAGGCGACGAUCAGUAGCGGGUCUGAGAGGAUGAUCCGCCACACUGGGACUGAGACACGGCCCAGACUCCUACGGGAGGCAGCAGUGGGGAAUUUUGGACAAUGGGCGCAAGCCUGAUCCAGCCAUGCCGCGUGUCUGAAGAAGGCCUUCGGGUUGUAAAGGACUUUUGUCAGGGAAGAAAAGGCUGUUGCUAAUAUCAGCGGCUGAUGACGGUACCUGAAGAAUAAGCACCGGCUAACUACGUGCCAGCAGCCGCGGUAAUACGUAGGGUGCGAGCGUUAAUCGGAAUUACUGGGCGUAAAGCGGGCGCAGACGGUUACUUAAGCAGGAUGUGAAAUCCCCGGGCUCAACCCGGGAACUGCGUUCUGAACUGGGUGACUCGAGUGUGUCAGAGGGAGGUAGAAUUCCACGUGUAGCAGUGAAAUGCGUAGAGAUGUGGAGGAAUACCGAUGGCGAAGGCAGCCUCCUGGGAUAACACUGACGUUCAUGCCCGAAAGCGUGGGUAGCAAACAGGAUUAGAUACCCUGGUAGUCCACGCCCUAAACGAUGUCAAUUAGCUGUUGGGCAACUUGAUUGCUUGGUAGCGUAGCUAACGCGUGAAAUUGACCGCCUGGGGAGUACGGUCGCAAGAUUAAAACUCAAAGGAAUUGACGGGGACCCGCACAAGCGGUGGAUGAUGUGGAUUAAUUCGAUGCAACGCGAAGAACCUUACCUGGUCUUGACAUGUACGGAAUCCUCCAGAGACGGAGGAGUGCCUUCGGGAGCCGUAACACAGGUGCUGCAUGGCUGUCGUCAGCUCGUGUCGUGAGAUGUUGGGUUAAGUCCCGCAACGAGCGCAACCCUUGUCAUUAGUUGCCAUCAUUCAGUUGGGCACUCUAAUGAGACUGCCGGUGACAAGCCGGAGGAAGGUGGGGAUGACGUCAAGUCCUCAUGGCCCUUAUGACCAGGGCUUCACACGUCAUACAAUGGUCGGUACAGAGGGUAGCCAAGCCGCGAGGCGGAGCCAAUCUCACAAAACCGAUCGUAGUCCGGAUUGCACUCUGCAACUCGAGUGCAUGAAGUCGGAAUCGCUAGUAAUCGCAGGUCAGCAUACUGCGGUGAAUACGUUCCCGGGUCUUGUACACACCGCCCGUCACACCAUGGGAGUGGGGGAUACCAGAAGUAGGUAGGGUAACCGCAAGGAGCCCGCUUACCACGGUAUGCUUCAUGACUGGGGUGAAGUCGUAA
Molecule: ribosomal RNA, 1470 nt
Filed under: Neisseria meningitidis
Lineage: Bacteria; Pseudomonadati; Pseudomonadota; Betaproteobacteria; Neisseriales; Neisseriaceae
Description: 16S ribosomal RNA
Rfam family: Bacterial small subunit ribosomal RNA
Source: RNAcentral